ACACUAUGUUUGCACUGUUUGGAACUGUUCACAUGUUGGUUCCCGGCAGUAAAACUGCUGGAACUAACAUGUGAACAGUGUCAAACAGUGUCAAAUAGUGU
This 101-nucleotide microRNA precursor is filed under the name Oryza sativa (Asian cultivated rice). Its description in RNAcentral is "miR2874 stem-loop (osa-MIR2874)". Lineage: Eukaryota; Viridiplantae; Streptophyta; Magnoliopsida; Poales; Poaceae. The record is from miRBase by way of RNAcentral.